Molecule: ribosomal RNA, 521 nt
Filed under: uncultured archaeon
Lineage: Archaea
Description: bacterial SSU rRNA
Rfam family: Archaeal small subunit ribosomal RNA
Source: RNAcentral
UUGAUCCCGCCGGAAGCGACCGCUAUUGGAGUUCGAUUAAGCCAUGCGAGUCGAGAGGGUUCGGCCCUCGGCAUACUGCUCAGUAACACGUGGAUAACCUGCCCUGUGCUCCGGGAUAACCUCGGGAAACUGAGAAUAAUACCGGAUAGUCCACCACGCCUGGAACGGUGGGUGGAUCAAAGGUCACGGCACAGGAUGGGUCUGCGGCGUAUCAGGUCGUAGGGGGUGUAAUGGACCCCCUAGCCAUUGACGCGUACGGGUUGUGGGAGCAAUCGCCCGGAGAUGGAUUCUGAGACACGAAUCCAGACCCUACGGGGUGCAGCAGGCGCGAAAACUUCACACUGCAGGAAACUGUGAUGAGGGAACUCCAAGUGCAUGCACAAUGUGUAUGCUUUUCCUUACUCUUAAUCGGUUUGGGAAUAAGGGCUGGGAAAGACCGGUGCCAGCCGCCGCGGUAAUACCGGCAGCUCAAGUGGUCGUCGCUUUUAUUGGGCCUAAGACGUCCGUAGCCUGUUUGGUAA